CAUCCCAAGUCAUUUGGGUAAAACCUAGACUGGGAACCUAAGAGCUCUGAAAGGUGAUAAGACAAAAUAUCUGGACAAGGACAGAGAGACUCAUAGACUGAGGUAAACAUGAGAAAUUAAAAUAAGAGACUGUCAUUUACAAUGAGUCUGCAGACUAAAAUCUCAAACGCUUGUGGAAAAUCAGUAGAGACCAAAAUCAAUUUGGAAAAGGAAUUUAUUCAAGGUGAAAUGAAAAAUAGAAAUGCCUGAAAAUGACUUAAAGUCAGUAUAGUUAGAAUCGUUUACAAGGUAAGUUAUUC
This 299-nucleotide long non-coding RNA is filed under the name Bos taurus (domestic cattle). Its description in RNAcentral is "long non-coding RNA NONBTAT009121". Lineage: Eukaryota; Metazoa; Chordata; Mammalia; Artiodactyla; Bovidae. The record is from RNAcentral.